AAAAAUGAAAUAAGACGUAUUUGUACUGUAAGUCCAAAAAUCAAUAAAUUGUCUGAAACCAGGGAGUCCAUCUUUUAUGCUCUUCCAUUGACUUAUCUCCCUUGGGUAAGAUCUCAAACAUGUCAGCUCCCAGUGAUGGUUUGGCAGACAUAUGUUUACAGUGAAGUUUGUGACUUUAAUAAUCUAGGAUGAGCAUGUGGGCUAUCCUAGCCUUAUACAUCUACAUAUUACAAACUAUUUAAGAUAUCUGAAUGCACUAAAGACCAAAAUAGCAUUUCCAAAAAAAAUAAUUACUGCCAAGAAAUUUCACAAUCAUGACAAUAAUUUAGUGAAUAAACAUGAUAAAUAUUGAUUGGAAAAAUAAGUCCAUGAACAGCAAAAAGUGUUUUUAGAUUUCAACGAGCAAAACAAAAGUAUUCUAAAUCAUUCUUCGUAAAAAAAAAGUGAGUGAGUGGAACCACCUUGCUCGCACCAAAAUUGAGAUUGAGAGUGUCAAAACUGCUCUGGUGUACCAUCAAUAAAUCAACGACACUCUCUCUACGGUGGUAUUGAAACCAGCAUUGGUAACCAAACAUAUUCAUACAGAUACAGACUACCAUUCAUCUACAUUUAGGAAGUCUGAAUAAUACUGAAAACUAUGGUGUAGAAUUUCCAACAGGACUCCUUAUUUUAUAUAAGACAAGGAGUGGUUUAUUUUCCCAUGGUUGUUACAUCAUCUUGUCUUUGAAUAUGCUUGAAGUACAGGGACUUUUAUGGAAUUCAUUGACAUGAUAGUCGAGCAAGAUGUCAACAUCUCGUCCAACCCUCUUCCAGCAAAGCCAAAGCUGACCAAGGAUCUUCACCCUUUCAAAACAGGCUGUAUACAGGACAAGUUAUUCCAGUAGGAACAGGGCUAUAUAUAUGCAAGCAAUGCUCAAUUAAGAUGAAUUUUUGUAAAAGUGACAAUAGCCAGGUCAAACUAAAUACAUGUAUAGAAGAAGAUAUUGAUCUAGACUCACAGCUAACCUUUCUGUCAGUGUCAACAACAACUGAACUUUCACAGCAGUCAACAUCAGAUUGGGAGAUAAUGCUUCUAACAGAAACAAUUUCAACCAACCAAACAAGCAACAGAAACUUUCCAACUUUAAAACAUCAGUUAAAUCUUCCAUGGGAUGAUGUCUCAAAAAAUAACAGUUCAACAUUUAUGGAGAUUUUAAUGUUAUGGUUUUUCUUUUACAAGAAAGUUAAUGUACACUUGUUUUAUAGUAAAACCUAUAGCCGUUCAAGUAUAAAAAAACACAUUCAACUUUAUUGAAAUUUAAAGAUUCAUAUGACUUAUUUUAAUUCUGUUAUCUCUGAGGAUGUGAUGUAGAGCAUUAUAGGUACAGUAAUCUUAACAGCUAUCCAAUUUCAUUCAAAAUUCUUUAUAAAUUUUGCACUGGUAUAUAUAGACUAAGUAAUUUGUUUUUCGUCUAGUUAUGGGAUUUUUUUUAGAAGCAUUUAUGAUUUUCAUGUUUGUAUUGACCACAUUGCAGCAACAUAGAUAUAGGUACCUGGCAAAUCUUGCCUUGUUAGCAUACUAGGCUCAAAGGGUUAUAAAAAAAUUUCCAUCACUAAGUGUCUGUUAAAAUCAUCUGUUUACAGUUUUCACUUUUAAACCAUCAUCUUAAUAACUUUAGAAGAAGUGUCAUACAUAUAUAUAUGUAUACAAAAUUCAAAAACUUUUCAAUAUAUAUAUAUAUAUAUAUAUAUAUAUUGAUAAAAACUAUCAACAUGACAAGAUCUAAAUACCCAAAAUUUUUCUGAAAAAUUGGACAUAACAUCUUUGAGCUAUUGUCCCUGAAAUGUGUAAAUUUACAAAUUUUCACAGUUUUCUGCUACUAUCCAACAACUAUAUCAAUAUAUUAUAAGAAUAAAUUGUAAAAGUGGUCAGAAGAAACUUUUUUUUUACAGUCUGAACUUAUUCUGAAUUGUUUAACUUCUAAUUUAAAUUGAUUGCGUUUGAAAUAUGUGUUUUUUAUCGUUUUAGGUGCACAAUUUGUCAAUACGAUCUAUUUCGGCUCCUCAGAGCCUCUAGAUUUAUAAUGAAUAAUUUGUAUUUAUGUAUGAUUAUUUUCUUAAUGUAUUAAAUGAAACAUUAGUUAUUCUUUUCCAUUUGUUGUUAUACUUAUUUAUAAGUCCAGAUCCUAUCAUAUGUCAGUAGUUACAAAUUAGACGGCAAAAUUGAGAAAAUUUGAAUAUGCAGGUUACCCCAUUCUGUUGUGGCAUAUACCAGACACCAACAUUAUUUGCCGAGCUUGAUAUUUUUUUUGAUUGGGUAUAUAUAGUUAUACUUUGCAAGUAGAUAUGUUGUUUUACAAUAAUAAACGGGUCUUGGAGUAUUUUGGCUCUGAAAGAUGACCAAAAUCAGCCAUUUUGGACAUGUAGCUAAAUAAGACAUAUUGAAACAGUUAGAUUAUACAUACACUUAAUAGACAGCAUUGUUAAUUCUAUGCAUUCUUACACUUAAAGUGAUGUAUUACUAGGAACAACUAUCAAAAAAUUAUAAAUGUUACCAUAUUUAUUUAUUUAAACCAGCGAAAUAUGCCAAAAAAGGCUUAUUUUUGCUGUUUUCGAGCAAUUUCAUCUGUUAAAACAUGGCGCUCAAAAAAUAUCCAGAUCGGUUCAAUAUUUUCCCAAAAAAAUUUGUGUGGUUAUUUACAUUACUAAGGUGCACCAAUAUGCCAAAUAUGAACUCAUUUGGAAAAAGUGACAUUCGGACGGUUUUGCAUGGUUUUCUGGCAGAUUGGCUCUUAA
Molecule: long non-coding RNA, 2775 nt
Organism: Mytilus californianus (California mussel)
Lineage: Eukaryota; Metazoa; Mollusca; Bivalvia; Mytilida; Mytilidae
Exons: 3
Source: RefSeq, a predicted model, not a curated record